CCUACGGGGGGCAGCAGUGGGGAAUAUUGCACAAUGGGCGCAAGCCUGAUGCAGCCAUGCCGCGUGUGUGAAGAAGGCCUUCGGGUUGUAAAGCACUUUCAGCGGGGAGGAAGGCGUUAAGGUUAAUAACCUUGGCGAUUGACGUUACCCGCAGAAGAAGCACCGGCUAACUCCGUGCCAGCAGCCGCGGUAAUACGGAGGGUGCAAGCGUUAAUCGGAAUUACUGGGCGUAAAGCGCACGCAGGCGGUCUGUCAAGUCGGAUGUGAAAUCCCCGGGCUCAACCUGGGAACUGCAUUCGAAACUGGCAGGCUAGAGUCUUGAAGAGGGGGGUAGAAUUCCAGGUGUAGCGGUGAAAUGCGUAGAGAUCUGGAGGAAUACCGGUGGCGAAGGCGGCCCCCUGGACAAAAACUGACGCUCAGGUGCGAAAGCGUGGGGAGCAAACAGGAUUAGAUACCCGAGUAGUC
RNAcentral lists this ribosomal RNA (465 nucleotides) under uncultured Klebsiella sp. RNAcentral's name for it is "bacterial SSU rRNA". It matches the Rfam family "Bacterial small subunit ribosomal RNA", at positions 338 to 795 of the family's 1533-position model. Lineage: Bacteria; Pseudomonadati; Pseudomonadota; Gammaproteobacteria; Enterobacterales; Enterobacteriaceae. The record is from RNAcentral.